AUGGAGCCGCAUCGCUCGGACCCCUUCUGCGCGCCAUGGCUGUCGCGUGUCCUCUUCUCCGCCUACAUUGCCGGUGACCACGACCGCACCUCCUCUCCGCUGCCUCCUGCGGCACCCCUUCACCUUGCAAGACCAGCAUGGCCGCCGGCCAUGGAGGCUUCUGUGCUAGCCCGCAGCUUCUCCUCCACACCCUGCUCAUCCUCCCGCGCCAACACCCUCCUUCGGCUGCUCACGCCUGCAGCUUCCUCCGCGAGCUCGUGCAGCCAUGGCCGCCACAAGAGCCUCGCGCCCGACCCCCUUGCCAAGGCCAUGGACGCUCGUGUCCCCGACCUUGCAGUUGGCCGUCUGUACCUCUACUUCGGAUUCGCCAAGUACCGCAACACCGAAUGCACAACUACCAUCGACCCUCAAGACCACAAGUACCCUUUAGAUACACCAAGUGUACGACUACGCCCGGUGAUGCAACAAAUACCUCUACCGUCGACCCUCGAAGGCACCAUGGACGUGAAAGAAGGUGGAAGGUGGGACAGCUUCGGCUGGGCGCUCGUCGGCGAGCUCGUCGGCCGUCCGGCUCUCCCCUCCGCUUGCGGCCCUCUCGGCCUCUCCUCCACUUCUUGCGUCCCCGUCCCCCCUGUAGGUGCGACUCCAUCCCAGCACCUUGAUCCUGCUCCCGGCACCUCCCUGAUCCUACUCGAUUUAUCUCAUGAAAGAAUGAUCCUACUCGUUGGUGGAUCUGCUGCUCAGGGCAUCCUCGACGUUCCUAACCUCAAGAAGUGCGGCGGCGGCAGAUCCGCGUGGAGGCGUCGAGCGCAGCUGGAUCGUGAAGGCCUCUGCAGCCUCCGUGCAGACGCUCGAGGUCAACAACGCCACCAUGAUGUACAGCUGCGAGCUGCCCACCCGUGUCCUCAGCCUCUUCGUCCCACUCUUGGUGUCUCCUCAAAGAUCCUCAGCAGGGAGCGCAUCAUUGUCGUCAACUCCAAGCUGAUCCGAUGCGUCAAGAGUUUAGGUCCAGGACUCCAGGGGCAGGCGCUAAUGGAGAGUUUGAGAAUGAAUGCGAGAGGACUUGAUACAUCAUGGUCUCCUUGUGCUUUGUUGUUUGGUUGGUGUAGAAUCCCUCAGCUCUUACCAAGAGGCUCUAGCUUCGAACAUGACUCUUUUAGUAGUUGGAGUGUUGCACGCAUGGAAUUGAUCGCAGGUUUAGAGAGGAAGCGAAGCAGCAACAGUUUGGGUUCAGAGAAGAUUAGGAGCAACAGUUCAUUGGAGAAGGAGAGGUACAUCAGCCGAGGGCAGCAGCGGAGAGCAAAAUCAGCAGAGAAAGCAGCACGCCUUUAUCACAAGAUGGACGAGCUUGACAUCAAUCAACAAUCUGAUAUCCCUUUACAUGAAGUAAGGCUAGCAUCAAAAGAAUCUUAA
Molecule: ribosomal RNA, 1413 nt
Filed under: Triticum aestivum (bread wheat)
Lineage: Eukaryota; Viridiplantae; Streptophyta; Magnoliopsida; Poales; Poaceae
Description: partial small subunit ribosomal RNA
Source: RNAcentral